RNAcentral lists this ribosomal RNA (277 nucleotides) under uncultured bacterium. Its description in RNAcentral is "partial 16S ribosomal RNA". It matches the Rfam family "Bacterial small subunit ribosomal RNA", at positions 333 to 627 of the family's 1533-position model. The record is from RNAcentral.
ACGUUCCUACGGGACGCAGCAGUGGGGAAUAUUGCACAAUGGGGGGAACCCUGAUGCAGCGACGCCGCGUGAGUGAAGAAGUAUUUCGGUAUGUAAAGCUCUAUCAGCAGGGAAGAAAAUGACGGUACCUGACUAAGAAGCCCCGGCUAACUACGUGCCAGCGGCCGCGGUAAUACGUAGGGGGCAAGCGUUAUCCGGAUUUACUGGGUGUAAAGGGAGCGCAGACGGCUGUGCAAGUCUGGAGUGAAAGGCGGGGGCCCACACCCCUGACUGCUCU